Molecule: transfer RNA, 63 nt
Filed under: Cladotaenia vulturi
Lineage: Eukaryota; Metazoa; Platyhelminthes; Cestoda; Cyclophyllidea; Paruterinidae
Description: tRNA-Ser
Source: RNAcentral
AACUUAUAAAAUUUAAAUUUGAUUUGAAAUCAAAAAAAUUGUCUUUAAUGACAAUAUAAGUUU